AUGGACUUGAAGCUGAAUUAAAAUCCACGACGUUACAACCACGUUACAACGGUUGAAUGCAGGACUCGAACAUGAGGAUGAGGACUGCAGCCAUACUGGGACUGCCACACUACAUCUCUGAAGAGCCGUGUAAUAUCUUCAGGAUGUGUGAUGUACAUCACGGUACAAUGGCGGCUGCCAUGCAGGGGAUGGACGUCGGCCUGCUUAUUGGAUAUGAAGGUGCUCAUCAGAAUGGAUUCCCUUUGAACAUC
This is a long non-coding RNA of Alosa alosa (allis shad), 251 nucleotides long. RefSeq lists it as uncharacterized. Lineage: Eukaryota; Metazoa; Chordata; Actinopteri; Clupeiformes; Clupeidae. The record is from RefSeq and is a predicted model, not a curated record. The transcript has 3 exons.